RNAcentral lists this ribosomal RNA (440 nucleotides) under uncultured bacterium. RNAcentral describes it as "bacterial SSU rRNA". It matches the Rfam family "Bacterial small subunit ribosomal RNA", at positions 355 to 786 of the family's 1533-position model. The record is from RNAcentral.
UAGGGAAUCUUCCACAAUGGACGCAAGUCUGAUGGAGCAACGCCGCGUGAGUGAAGAAGGUUUUCGGAUCGUAAAGCUCUGUUGUUGGUGAAGAAGGAUAGAGGUAGUAACUGGCCUUUAUUUGACGGUAAUCAACCAGAAAGUCACGGCUAACUACGUGCCAGCAGCCGCGGUAAUACGUAGGUGGCAAGCGUUGUCCGGAUUUAUUGGGCGUAAAGCGAGCGCAGGCGGAAGAAUAAGUCUGAUGUGAAAGCCCUCGGCUUAACCGAGGAACUGCAUCGGAAACUGUUUUUCUUGAGUGCAGAAGAGGAGAGUGGAAUUCCAUGUGUAGCGGUGGAAUGCGUAGAUAUAUGGAAGAACACCAGUGGCGAAGGCGACUCUCUGGUCUGCAACUGACGCUGAGGCUCGAAAGCAUGGGGUAGCGAACAGGAUUAGAUACC